CCUACGGGUGGCAGCAGUGGGGGAUAUUGCACAAUGGGGGAAACCCUGAUGCAGCGACGCCGUGUGUGGGAAGACGGUCCUCUGGAUUGUAAACCACUGUCCCCAGGGACGAAGAUGACGGUACCUGGGGAGGAAGCUCCGGCUAACUACGUGCCAGCAGCCGCGGUAAUACGUAGGUGGCAAGCGUUGUCCGGAUUUACUGGGUGUAAAGGGCGUGUAGCCGGGUUGACAAGUCAGAUGUGAAAUCCUGCGGCUUAACCGCAGAACUGCAUUUGAAACUGUUGAUCUUGAGUACUGGAGAGGCAGACGGAAUUCCUAGUGUAGCGGUGAAAUGCGUAGAUAUUAGGAGGAACACCAGUGGCGAAGGCGGUCUGCUGGACAGCAACUGACGGUGAGGCGCGAAAGCGUGGGGAGCAAACAGGAUUAGAUACCCGGGUAGUC
Molecule: ribosomal RNA, 441 nt
Filed under: uncultured bacterium
Lineage: Bacteria
Description: partial 16S ribosomal RNA
Rfam family: Bacterial small subunit ribosomal RNA
Source: RNAcentral